This 5416-nucleotide long non-coding RNA is filed under the name Citrus x clementina. RNAcentral's name for it is "Citrus clementina (C. clementina) long non-coding RNA (CCLE_LNC000036)". The record is from RNAcentral. Lineage: Eukaryota; Viridiplantae; Streptophyta; Magnoliopsida; Sapindales; Rutaceae.
CCAAGUUCCCCCAUCGGAAAAAGGCCACAAAAACGGGUGGGCUAUAGCCUUGGGGGGUGGGGCUGGCCUACUUCGUCCGCCGGACUCGGAAUGCUGCAAGACUUUGCGAGGGGCCUCCGUGUGCCAAAAAAAGGCUGCAGGCAAAGCCGCGCCCAAAAAUAACCGCCCGAAGGCCGGGGCGCAAAGUUCGUCCAGCGGAAAAAGGCCACAAAAACGGGUGGGCUAUAGCCUUGGGGGGUGGGGCUGGCCUACUUCGUCCGCCGGACUCGGAAUGCCGCAAGACUUUGCGAGGGGCCUCCGUGUGCCAAAAAAAGGCUGCGGCCAAAGCCGCGCCCAAAAAUAACCACCCAAAGGCCGGGGCGCCAAGUUCGUCCAGCGGAAAAAGGCCACAAAAACGGGUGGGCUAUAGCCUUGGGGGGUGGGGCUGGCCAACUUCGUCCGCCGGACGUGGAAUGGUACGAGACCUUGCGAGGCACCUCCGUGUGCCAAAAAUAGGCCGCGGGCACAGCGGCGCCCAAAAAUAACCGCCCGAAGGCCGGGGCGCCAAGUUCGUCCAGCGGACAAAGGCCACAAAAACGGGUGGGCUAUAGCCUUGGGGGGUGGGGCUGGCCUACUUCGUCCGCCGGACUCGGAAUGCCGCAAGACUUUGCGAGGGGCCUCCGUGUGCCAAAAAAAGGCUGCGGGCAAAGCCGCGACCAAAAAUAACCACCCGAAGGCCGUGGCGCCAAGUUCGUCCAGCGGAAAAAGGCCACAAAAACGGGUGGGCUAUAGCCUUGGGGGGUGGGGCUGGCCAACUUCGUCCGCCGGACGUGGAAUGGUGCGAGACCUUCCGAGGCACCUCCGUGUGCCAAAAAUAGGCCGCGGGCACAGCGGCGCCCAAAAAUAACCGCCCGAAGGCCGGGGCGCCAAGUUCGUCCAGCAGACAAAGGCCACAAAAACGGGUGGGCUAUAGCCUUGGGGGUUGGGGCGGGCCAACAUCGUCCGCCGGACUCGGAAUGGCACGAGACGUUGCGAGGCGCCUCCGUGUGCCAAAAAUAGGCUGCGUCCACAGCCGCGCCCAAAAAUAACCGCUCGAAAACCGGGGCGUCAAGUUCGUCCAGCAGAAAAAGGCCACAAAAACGGGUGGGCUAUAGCCUUGGGGGGUGGGGCUGGCCAACUUCGUCCGCCGGACGUGGAAUGGUACGAGACCUUGCGAGGCACCUCCGUGUGCCAAAAAUAGGCCGCGGGCACAGCGGCGCCCAAAAAUAACCGCCCGAAGGCCGGGGCGCCAAGUUCGUCCAGCGGACAAAGGCCACAAAAACGGGUGGGCUAUAGCCUUGGGGGGUGGGGCUGGCCUACUUCGUCCGCCGGACUCGGAAUGCCGCAAGACUUUGCGAGGGGCCUCCGUGUGCCAAAAAAAGGCUGCGGGCAAAGCCGCNNNNNNNNNNNNNNNNNNNNNNNNNNNNNNNNNNNNNNNNNNNNNNNNNNNNNNNNNNNNNNNNNNNNNNNNNNNNNNNNNNNNNNNNNNNNNNNNNNNNAAAACGGGUGGGCUAUAGCCUUGGGGGGUGGGGCUGGCCAACUUCGUCCGCCGGACGUGGAAUGGUGCGAGACCUUCCGAGGCACCUCCGUGUGCCAAAAAUAGGCCGCGGGCACAGCGGCGCCCAAAAAUAACCGCCCGAAGGCCGGGGCGCCAAGUUCGUCCAGCAGACAAAGGCCACAAAAACGGGUGGGCUAUAGCCUUGGGGGUUGGGGCGGGCCAACAUCGUCCGCCGGACUCGGAAUGGCGCGAGACAUUGCGAGGCGCUUCCGUGUGCCAAAAAUAGGCCGCGGGCACAGCCGCGCCCAAAAAUAACCGCCCGAAGGCCGGGGCGCAAAGUUCGUCCAGCGGAAAAAGCCCACAAAAACGGGUGGGCUAUAGCCUUGGGGGGUGGGGCUGGCCAACUUCGUCCGCCGGACUCGGAAUGGCACGAGACGUUGCGAGGCGCCUCCGUGUGCCAAAAAUAGGCUGCGUCCACAGCCGCGCCCAAAAAUAACCGCUCGAAGACCGGGGCGUCAAGUUCGUCCAGGGGAAAAAGGCCACAAAAACGGGUGGGGUAUAGCCUUGGGGGUUGGGGCGGGCCAACUUCGUCCGCCGGACUCGGAAUGGCGCGAGACCUUGCGAGGAGCCUCCGUGUGCCAAAAAUAGGCCGUGGGCAAAGCCGCGCACAAAAAUAACUGCCCGAAGGCUGGGGCGCCAAGUUCGUCCAGCGGAAAAAGGCAACAAAAAUGGGUGGGCUAUAGCCUUGGGGGGUGGGGCUGGCCAACUUCGUCCGCCGGACUCGGAAUGGCGCGAGACUUUGCGAGGGGCCUCCGUGUGCCAAAAGUAGGCCGCGGACAAAGCCGCGCCCAAAAUUAACCACCCGAAGGCCGGGGUGCCAAGUUCGUCCAGCGGAAAAAGGCCACAAAAACGGGUGGGCUAUAGCCUUGGGGGGUGGGGCUGGCCAACUUCGUCCGCCGGAUGUGGAAUGGUGCGAGACCUUCCGAGGCACCUCCGUGUGCCAAAAAUAGGCCGCGGGCACAGCGGCGCCCAAAAAUAACCGCCCGAAGGCCGGGGCGCCAAGUUCGUCCAGCGGACAAAGGCCACAAAAACGGGUGGGCUAUAGCCUUGGGGGUUGGGGCGGGCCAACUUCGUCCGCCGGACUCGGAAUGGCGCGAGACAUUGCGAGGCGCUUCCGUGUGCCAAAAAUAGGCCGCGGGCACAGCCGCGCCCAAAAAUAACCGCCCGAAGGCCGGGGCGCAAAGUUCGUCCAGCGGAAAAAGCCCACAAAAACGGGUGGGCUAUAGCCUUGGGGGGUGGGGCUGGCCAACUUCGUCCGCCGGACUCGGAAUGCCGCGAGACUUUGCGAGGCACCUCCGUGUGCCAAAAAUAGGCCGCGGGCACAGCGGCGCCCAAAAAUAACCGCCCGAAGGCCGGGGCGCCAAGUUCGUCCAGCGGACAAAGGCCACAAAAACGGGUGGGCUAUAGCCUUGGGGGUUGGGGCGGGCCAACUUUGUCCGCCGGACUCGGAAUUGCGCGAGACGUUGCGAGGUGCUUCCGUGUGCCAAAAAUAGGCCGCGGGCACAGCCGAGCCCAAAAAUAACCGCCCGAAGGCCGGGGCGCAAAGUUCGUCCAGCGGAAAAAGCCCACAAAAACGGGUGGGCUAUAGCCUUGGGGGGUGGGGCUGGCCAACUUCGUCCGCCGGACUCGGAAUGGCACGAGACGUUGCGAGUCACCUCCGUGUACCAAAAAUAGGCCGCGGACACAGCCGCGCCCAAAAAUAACCUCCCGAAGGCCGGGGCGCCAAGUUCGUCCAGCGGAAAAAAGCCACAAAAACGGGUGGGCAUAGCCUUGGGGGGUGGGGCUGGCCGACUUCGUCCGCCGGACUCGGAAUGCCGCGAGACUUUGUGAGGCACCUCCGUGUGCCAAAAAUAGGCCGCGGGCACAGCCGCACCGAAAAAUAACAGCCCGAAGGCCGGGGCGCCAAGUUCGUCCAGCGGAAAAAGGCCACAAAAACGGGUGGGCAUAGCCUUGGGGGGUGGGGCUGGCCCACUUCGUCCGCCGGACUCGGAAUGCCGCGAGACUUUGCGAGGCGCCUCCGUGUCCCAAAAUAGGCCGCGGGCACAGCCGCGCCCAAAAAUAACCGCCCGGAGGCCGGGGCGCCAAGUUCGUCCCAGCGAAAAAGGCCACAAAAACGGGUGGGCUAUAGCCUUGGGGGUUGGGGCUGACCGACUUCGUCCGCCGGACUCCGAUGCCGCGAGACUUUGUGAGGGGCCUCCGUGUGCCAAAAAUAGGCCGCGGGAAAAGCCCCGCCCAAAAAUAAACCGCCCAAAGGCCGGGNNNNNNNNNNNNNNNNNNNNNNNNNNNNNNNNNNNNNNNNNNNNNNNNNNNNNNNNNNNNNNNNNNNNNNNNNNNNNNNNNNNNNNNNNNNNNNNNNNNNCAAAAACGGGUGGGCAUAGCCUUGGGGGGUGGGGCUGGCCAACUUCGUCCGCCGGACUCGGAAUGCCGCGAGACUUUGCGAGGAGCCUCCGUGUGCCAAAAAUAGGCCGUGGGCAAAGCCGCGCCCAAAAAUAACUGGCCGAAGGCCGGGGCGCCAAGUUCGUCCAGCGGAAAAAGGCCACAAAAAUUGGUGGGCUAUAGCCUUGGGGGGUGGGGCUGGCCAACUUCGUCCGCCGGACUUGGAAUGGCGUGAGACCUUGCGAGGCACCUCUGUGUGCCAAAAAUAGGCCGCGGGCACAGCGGCGUCCAAAAAUAACCGCCCGAAGGCCGGGGCGCCAAGUUCGUCCAGCGGAAAAAGCCCACAAAAACGGGUGGGCUAUAGCCUUGGGGGGUGGGGCUGGCCAAGUUCGUCCACCGGAUUCGGAAUGGCGCGAGACUUUCCGAGGCACCUCCGUGUGACAAAAAUAGGCUGUGGGCACAGCCGCGCUAAAAAAUAACCGCCCGAAGGCUGGGGCGCCAAGUUCGUCCAGCGGAAAAACGCCACAAAAACGGGUGGGCUAUAGCCUUGGGGAGUGGGGCUGGCCAACUUCGUCCGCCCGACUCGGAAUGGCGUGAGACUUUGCGAGGCACCUCCAUGUGCCAAAAAUAGGCUACGGGCACAGCCGCGCCCAAAAAUAACCGCCCGAAGACCGGGGCGCCAAGUUCGUCCAGCGGAAAAAGGCCACAAAAACGGGUGAGCUAUAGCCUUGGGGGGUGGGGCUGGCCAACUUCGUCCGCCGGACUCGGAAUGGCGCGAGACUUUGCGAGUCGCCUCUGUGUGCCAAAAAUAGGCCGCGGGCACAGCUGCGCCCAAAAAUAACCGCCUGAAGGCCGGGUCGCCAAGUUCGUCCAGCGGAAAAAGGCCACAAAAACGGGUGGGCUAUAGCCUUGGGGGGUGUGGCUGGCCAACUUCGUCCGCAGGACUCGGAAUGGCACGGGACGUGGCAAGGCACCUCCGUGUGCCAAAAAUAGGCCGCGGGCACAGCCGCGUCCAAAAAUAACCACCCGAAGGCCGGGGCGCCAAGUUCGUCCAGCGGAAAAAGGCCACAAAAACGGGUGGGCUAUAGCCUUGGGGGGUGGGGCUGGCCAACUUUGUCCGCCGGACUCGGAAUGGCGUGAGACUUUGUGAGGCGCCUCCGUGUGCCAAAAAUAGGCCGCGGGCACAGCCGCGCCCAAAAAUAACCGCCCGAAGGCCGGGGCGCCAAGUUCGUCCAGCGGAAAAAGCCCACAAAAACGGGUGGGCUAUAGCCUGGGGGGGUGGGGCUGGCCAACUUCGUCCGCCAGACUCGGAAUGGCACGAGACUUUGCGACGCGUCCCAGUGUGCCAAAAAUAGGCCGCGGGCGUAGCCGCGCCCAAAAAUAACCGACCGAAGACCGGGGCGUCAAGUUCGUCCAGGGGAAAAAGGCCACAAAAACGGGUGGGCUAUAGCCUUGGGGGGUGGG